RNAcentral lists this ribosomal RNA (305 nucleotides) under uncultured bacterium. RNAcentral describes it as "bacterial SSU rRNA". It matches the Rfam family "Bacterial small subunit ribosomal RNA", at positions 335 to 638 of the family's 1533-position model. The record is from RNAcentral.
GUCCUACGGGGGGCAGCAGUGGGGGAUAUUGCACAAUGGAGGGAACUCUGAUGCAGCGACGCCGCGUGAGGGAAGAAGGCCCUGCGGGUCGCAGACCUCUUUGGACGGGGAGCAAGGCCGCCGACGUGUCGGCGGAAGGAGAGUACCCGUAGAACAAGCAUCGGCUAACUCCGUGCCAGCAGCCGCGGUAAUACGGAGGAUGCGAGCGUUAUCCGGAUUUAUUGGGUUUAAAGGGUGCGCAGGCGGCACGGCAAGCCGGCGGUCAAAUCGCGGGGCUCAACCCCGCCCAGCCGUCGGAACUGCCG